CCGUGUUCGAAAGGGAAACAGCCCAGACCACCAGCUAAGGUCCCAAAAUAUAUGUUAAGUGGAAAAGGAUGUGGCGUUGCCCAGACAACUAGGAUGUUGGCUUAGAAGCAGCCAUCAUUUAAAGAGUGCGUAAUAGCUCACUAGUCGAGUGACACUGCGCCGAAAAUGUACCGGGGCUAAACAUAUUACCGAAGCUGUGGAUUGUCCUUUGGACAAUGGUAGGAGAGCGUUCUAAGGGCGUUGAAGCAUGAUCGUAAGGACAUGUGGAGCGCUUAGAAGUGAGAAUGCCGGUGUGAGUAGCGAAAGACGGGUGAGAAUCCCGUCCACCGAUUGACUAAGGUUUCCAGAGGAAGGCUCGUCCGCUCUGGGUUAGUCGGGUCCUAAGCUGAGGCCGACAGGCGUAGGCGAUGGAUAACAGGUUGAUAUUCCUGUACCACCUAUAAUCGUUUUAAUCGAUGGGGGG
This 463-nucleotide ribosomal RNA is filed under the name Staphylococcus aureus. RNAcentral describes it as "partial 23S ribosomal RNA". It matches the Rfam family "Bacterial large subunit ribosomal RNA", at positions 1005 to 1471 of the family's 2925-position model. Lineage: Bacteria; Bacillati; Bacillota; Bacilli; Caryophanales; Staphylococcaceae. The record is from RNAcentral.